Molecule: ribosomal RNA, 225 nt
Filed under: Caesio teres (yellow and blueback fusilier)
Lineage: Eukaryota; Metazoa; Chordata; Actinopteri; Lutjaniformes; Lutjanidae
Description: partial 16S ribosomal RNA
Source: RNAcentral
GCCCAACAGCUAGCCCCCUCCCCACCAAAAACAACAAACCCCCAUCAAUAACCCCUAAUACCCUAACCUACUCCUAAACAAAUCAUUUUUCCUCCCUAGUACAGGCGAUAGAAAAGGAACUGUGGAGCAACAGAAAAAGUACCGCAAGGGAAAGCUGAAAGAGAAAUGAAACAACUCAGUAAAGCACAUAGCAGCAGAGAUAUAGCCUCGUACCUUUUGCAUCAU